AGCUAUCUGUAAUACACUUCCUGUGUGUUUCUCUGGCUCAGCGUCGGCUUCUUGGGAACUUGGUCCAUGACAGUUGGUGCCAAGAGUGGUUUCAGAAAUCAGUUGCUAAGAUGAGAUUUUGGAGCCGGAUCACUUGCUGCUUGUUUGGCAAUGAGGACCUCCACCAACCACAGGAUAGCAUCUGGCAUGAGAUAGCAGUGCACCUGCUAAUACUUACACCAGACUUAGCAGAACUGCCUUCCAUAUUCCUGGAAUCAUGAGAUCUUGGAAGAACAUACUCAACUGAAAGAAAAAAAAAAAAUAAAGAAGACUUUCUCAUCUACUUGCUUCCCAGAUUUUUGAAACUGAUCCAAUGCAUAAUCUUUGGUGGUAGUGGUUGUUAAAAUGGCUGGUGGAGGCAAAGAGGCAUGAUGGGAAAUUUUGGAGUCAAAACUCUGGAAUUCUCUGUGUUUUCUGGUGGCAGACGUUUCAUUUAUUAGUCAGUUCACUUAAAAUUUGCAUCAAAGACUAUAACCUGACAAUAUGAGAAUUAUACUUUUUUUUUCCCCAUUUUGCUCUGCAUUUUAAGGCCAUCCCAAGCCCAAUGGCAUUUUCCUGUUGCAUUGUGCUGGUGGUGUCACCAUAAGAUAUAUUAAAAUGAAUGAGAUGUA
Long non-coding RNA from Leopardus geoffroyi (Geoffroy's cat), 650 nucleotides. RefSeq lists it as uncharacterized. Lineage: Eukaryota; Metazoa; Chordata; Mammalia; Carnivora; Felidae. The transcript is spliced from 2 exons. The record is from RefSeq and is a predicted model, not a curated record.